UCAUAGAAUUUCUUUAAAUUCAUGAUGUCGUAAGGGAAAAUAAUGAUAUUACCUUACUAUGAGUGUCGUCCAAAACUGGUGCCAGAAGACUCGGUAAGACCAGAGACGCAAACGUUAAUCAUCAUAAGCAGGCGUAAAGGGUUUGUAGGCAGCUUUUAUAGGUUUAUGAUUGCAAAAAAAUAAAUGGAAAUCUAAAUCAAAAGCUAGAAUCAAGAAGAGGUUAUAGUGUAUAACGCUUAGAGGAGGGCUGAUAUCCAUAGAUCCUAGGCAGAAUACUUAGGGCGAAGGCCACUCUCCACUAAUGAUUGACGCUGAGAAACGAAGGUAAGGGUAGGAAAUAGGAUUAGAUACCCCGGUACUCCUUUCUGUAAACGAUGAAUGGCAGUCAUUAGUAAAAUUAAAAAUUACUAGAGACGAAGUUAACACAAUAACCAUUCCGCCUUGUGAGUACUACUGCAAAGUAGAAAACAAAAAAAUUAGUCGGUCUCGAAGCAAACGGAGUGAAGCAUGUUAUUUA
Molecule: ribosomal RNA, 517 nt
Filed under: Sanguinoderma sinuosum
Lineage: Eukaryota; Fungi; Basidiomycota; Agaricomycetes; Polyporales; Polyporaceae
Description: SSU rRNA
Rfam family: Bacterial small subunit ribosomal RNA
Source: RNAcentral